Oncorhynchus keta (chum salmon) is the source of this 769-nucleotide long non-coding RNA. RefSeq lists it as uncharacterized. The transcript is spliced from 5 exons. The record is from RefSeq and is a predicted model, not a curated record. NCBI's taxonomy places the organism in Eukaryota, Metazoa, Chordata, Actinopteri, Salmoniformes, Salmonidae.
UGUUACCUGUAGUGUGGUUGUUAUAGUUAAGGUGAUGUUACCUGUAGUGUGGUUGUUAUAGUUAAGGUGAUGUUACCUGUAAUGUGGUUGUUAUAGUUAAGGUGAUGUUACCUGUAGUGUGGUUGUUAAGGUGAGGUUACCUGUAGUGUGGUUGCUAUAGUUAAGGUGAUGUUACCUGUAAUGUGGUUGUUAUAGUUAAGGUGAGGUUACCUGUAGUGUGGUUGUUAUAGUUAAGGUGAGGUUACCUGUAAUGUGGUUGUUAUAGUUAAGGUGAGGUUACCUGUAGUGUGGUUGUUAUAGUUAAGGUGAUGUUACCUGUAGUGUGGUUGUUAUAGUUAAGGUGAUGUUACCUGUAGUGUGGUUGUUAUAGUUAAGGUGAGGUUACCUGUAAUGUGGUUGUUAUAGUUAAGGUGAGGUUACCUGUAGUGUGGUUGUUAUAGUUAAGGUGAGGUUACCUGUAGUGUGGUUGUUAUAGUUAAGGUGAUGUUACCUGUAGUGUGGUUGUUAUAGUUAAGGUGAGGUUACCUGUAGUGUGGUUGUUAUAGUUAAGGUGAGGUUACCUGUAGUGUGGUUGUUAUAGUUAAGGUGAUGUUACCUGUAGUGUGGUUGUUAAGGUGAUGUUACCUGUAGUGUGGUUGUUAUAGUUAAGGUGAUGUUACCUGUAAUGUGGUUGUUAUAGUUAAGGUGAUGUUACCUGUAGUGUGGUUGUUAAGGUGAGGUUACCUGUAGUGUGGUUGUUAUAGUUAAGGUGAUGUUACCUGUAGUGUGG